Molecule: long non-coding RNA, 12122 nt
Filed under: Coffea arabica (coffee)
Lineage: Eukaryota; Viridiplantae; Streptophyta; Magnoliopsida; Gentianales; Rubiaceae
Description: long non-coding RNA (CARA_LNC006424)
Source: RNAcentral
GUGAGUCUCUUAUAAUUAUCAAUUCUAUCUCUUAUGUUUUCAAUACCAGUAUUACUAGUAGUAGUUCUUCUUUAGAGCAAGCACAGUUGGAUGGAGGACAUCCACCGUUCCACCGACUACAUACAUGGCUAGGCAUGUGUGCCACCAUGGGCUACAGUUUUUUUUUUCCCCUUCUCCAUGAUUAAACAACAAAAGCUGGGUAGUGUGGCUUACGAAACUACUAGUGAUCAGUUAGUGGCUUUAAUUUGUAUGGACAAGAAUUUGAGUUUUUUUUUUUUUUUGGGUGAUGCUCAAUUUUUUUGGACAAGAGAAAUCCAAGACCAGGUAUAUGAUGAGAAGCAAAAUCUGGUGACCAUCACCGUGGUGUGCUGUAGCCCCGAGAAAAUCCGCGACCAAUUAUGUUGCAAGGGUGGUAAAGUCAUUAAGAGUAUUGAGAUCGUGGAGCCACCAAAGCCUAAAGAGCCCGAAAAGCCCAAGCCACCACUUGCAGUGGCGGUCUGCUGUGUCCUAUGUUCGGAAGGGUACGGAGGGGGACGAUGCUGCUGCAGGAACUGGCGGCCUGUGCCCCCGCACGCGUGCGGGUGCGGAUACCGGUAUAGUCAUUGUGAUUAGUUCAGUGAGCAGAUCACUGGCGACUGUACGAUUAUGUGAGAGGAGAGGAGAGGAGAAUUUGAUAUGGGGAAUGAUAUGAUAUGAAAAGCAUCCAAAUUAAUCAUUUAAUUUUGUUUGGUGGGCGGUACAUGCAAAUGCAUUGAAGCAAAAUAAUACUAGCAGUAUUGUGUAGUUAGGGCCUUCAUAGGACCUAUAAUAUAAAAGGAAGAAGAAAAUAAAGUUAAUGUGCAUGCUAUUAUGGAGUAUAUAUAUAGAGAGACGUACAUGUGGGGACUGAUUCAAGUUGGAAGUCACUUAGAAUAAGCUUUUGUAUGUACCCUAAUGAAUAAGUUUUCUUUAAGUGUCAAGGCACACUUUUGUAAAGAUGUUUGAGAGCCGUUGCUCAGAUAUUGUAUAGUUUUGACAUAUUAAUAAAAAUUUUAUCGUUUCGGAAAAGAAAAAAAAAAUGUCAUUGCAUCAAAUUUUUUUCAUUGUUUAUAAUAAUAAUAAUAAUAAUAAUAAUAGAAAUGAUGUCGUUAAAAGUGCAUGUACUCUCUUCUUCUUCUUCUUUAUUAUUAUUAUUUUUAGAUUUCAUUUUCUCGCUUUGCUCUCUAGUAGUAGUAGUAGUAGUGUUAGUAAAUUAAUGUGCUAGUGUAGAUGUUCUAGAUACACAUCUUCUUUCCUGUUUCUUCAUUUCUUAAAUCUCUCCAUUCUUUGCCAGAAAUAAAAUUAAAAAUAAAAUUUUAUAUAUAUAUAUAAGUAGUAAUGUGCUAGCGUCACAGGAAGGAAUGCAGAAAGGAGCCAGUAGUACUUAACAGUCACUUGGGAUCCUCGGUGACAUAUUUUCUAUGCCAAUCCAAUACCACCUCUAAUAUUACGCCAAGUGUCCUAUUAUUAUUUGCACUUUAAUUUUCUAAUAAUUUAAAUUGAUUUGAUUUGACACAAGUUUUCUUUACCUUCUAAACCUUUAAACCAAAAUUAACCGACCGGACCAAUGAUACUCAUCUUAUUACUUGAGCAAGCAGUGAAGUGCGCUGCCAUGGCCGCCCGCUCCAUCGUCCUCACUAUGGCUCAGUAACAACUGACAAAUGGCAGCGUUAUUGAAGAAAUUGGCAACGAAGGCUGCACCGAUGAUCGCAUUCAAUGGAGCUUUUCUAGCCCAAUCCAAGUCUACUUUUCUAAAUUUCCGUAUCCCCUUUGGAGCUAUUGCAGCGGUUUCCGGUGGCAUAUCAUAUUAUUACUACUUCUCUUUUUCAUCCGUGGUAAUUUCUCCCAACUAUUUCAUCUGUGUUUCGGUCACUUGGUCUGCCACGUCACAGCUCUGUCCUCCACAGAUGGAAAUUGUCAGUUGUUACCGAGCCAUAGUGAGGAAGAUGGAGCAGGCGGCCAUGGCAGCGCACUUCACUGCUUGCUCAAGUAAUAAGAUGAGUAUCAUUGGUCCGGUCGGUUAAUUUUGGUUCAAAGAUUUAGAAGGUAGAGAAAACUUGUGUCAAACCAAACCAAUUUGAAUUAUUAGAAAAUUAAACUGCAAAUAAUAAUAGGACACUUGGCGUAAUAUUAGAGGUGGCAUUGGAUUGGCAUAAAAAAUAUGUCACCGAGGAUCCAAGUGCUUAACAGUUGGGUAAAAGUAAAAAUAACGCAUAUGAAUUUGCAUGCCAUCUCAAAUGCUCGCAUGCAAUAAUAAAUGUCAAAAGUUUAGUCAACAAAAGACCGACCAACGUUUUUUUUUUUUUUUUUUUAUAAUAACAUUCAUCAACCAACAACCUUCCAGGACACCAUGGCACGGCAGUAAAUGGAGUAUAUAUAUAUAUAUAUAUAUAGUAGCAAAACAAGACAAGACAAGAGACAGACUCACUCACAGUAACCUAUUUUAGUCAGAUUGAUUAAUUAAUUUCGGGUUAGUUUGGUUGUCUUUGUCUUCACUCUUCUGUAAUAAAUUGUCACUCAGCGCCGGUGUCGUCCUGUUGGAUUGUUACAAAAUAAUUGAGGAGAAAUAAUUGCGAGGUGGUGGAGUCACUAAUUCGUUGUCCUUCCAAUUCCAAAUCCUUUCUUUCACUGGAUCCUUUCAUUGUGGCUCUAGGUUUUGGUUGGAUGUGGCGGCCGGCAUGAAAGUGACGGAGCAGCCCGCAGAGGCUUUUACGAAAUACCGAAGGCUCGAAUCAUGACAAAGAUUUCCCCAUGAAAUUAAUUAAGCUUCAGAGGGAUACCACACACACAUAUUGCCCUCUUUUAACCGGUGCAUCAUUUCAUUUGAGGGAUGGAUCAUGGAGGAGGGCAUUUUCUGCUUCUCUUAUUUUUCUCCUCUCUUCUCUUCUUGAGUAGUGAAUAGUGAUUGCCCUUCUCAAGUACAGAGUACAGUAGUAGUAUAUAGUAGUAGCAACUACUCUCCGUUUUUGAAUUGUACUGCUCCGUUUCAACAUACUACUGUUACUGGUCAUGAGAAAAAAAUUCUUGCUUCAGUUUCUUGUAUGAGGUAGCAGAAAUCUAUAGGUCGAAACUCGAACGAACGUCCGACAAAUGACCUAAGAAAUGAUUUUCCUGGUGCCCAUUGAUCUAUAGAACCCAAUGGCCUAAAAAAUUAGCUAGCUGAAAACACCACCAUCUCCACGGUCCUGGAACCUCACCGGCAGCCCAAUGUAGAAAAAAAAAAAAAAGAAGAAGAAAACUCAAAUGCUGCUGACUGCUCUGCUGAGUGUCGACUGAGAAGGAAGGAAGGAGAGUAGAGAGAAGAAUGGUGGCCGCCGCCUAUUCGCCGUCUCAUCUCUCUCGCGACCCACACCUCUUCUGUAACUCUCUUUAUCCCACUCACCUCCACCAACUCGGAAUCAUCCCCCAUAACGCCCUCGCUUUUCAUCCUCUCAAGCCCCAUCCAAAACCUUCCCUCUCUAUACCGGCUUCCCAACAACAAUCCCCCUCAAUUUCCCAAAUUCCUCACCGCCCAGAUGCUAAAACCAUCUCUUCUUCCUCAAAAAGCUAUAUCUGGGUCAACCCCAACAGCUAUAUCGGGGUAGGUGCUGCCGGCUCUCAAAUCUCAAAUUUUGCUUACGAUUCCCCAACAGUACUAAUUCAUCUCUCUCUCUCUCUCUCUCUCUCUCUCGGCUAACGGUAAAUGUAAUUUUAUGUGCAUAUCAGGAGACAUACAAAGCAAAAACCUUUGGAGCUAGCUUACUCAUACAUACAAAUUGUGUAUUUAAAAUAAGAAUUAAUAUUUUAUAUACUGAAAAUAAAAAUAUAAUAAUUUUUUUAUACUAAUAAUUUUGAAUAUAAAAUUUAAAUUCAUACUAUAUGGUAUAAUAUAAAUCUGUUAGUGCCCUCUGCAGCUUGUCCCUGGUCGAACCUUGCUGCUAACAAGUUGUGGAGUGUGGAGAAUAGUUUGUGGGAUCCAUUUCCUACGGAUACCCCUAAAAAAUAUAUCUCAGCAUGAUUACGUUACUUGAUUCUCGUCCGACUAUUAUCUUAAAAAGUCUGUUUGGAUUGUGAAUUAUUAGAGAUAUUUUUACUGUAGCACUUUUUGUGAUGUGAUGUAUGUGAGAUAAAAAGGUAAUUGGAAAGGUAAAAAGGUGUAUUGGAAAUUGUAACGAUGAUGUAAACAAAUAAAUUUGAGAAAAUAAAGCCCAAUCUGUUUGGUUAUAUUACAAGCGUCCCAAUUCAAUUAAAUUCCGCUGCGCUGCGCCUUCAAAUGUGUUGUUAACAGUCUACUUAACAAAUAUGCAAUCACUUGCACGACAGAGAGAGAGGAAGGGGACAAUUAACAUUGGAGGAGUCACUAAUCAGUCGAAGUAUACCCCCAGUUACAGUAGUUGAAAAGCCGAUGGCACUUGCACCACCACCACCACCACCAGCACCGACUUCACCUGAACCGUGCUCUCACCCGCCAGUUCCAGUGGGGUUCUGCUGUGUCCCAUGUUCGGAAGGGUACAACGGGGGGCCAUGCUACUAUGGUUAUGGGCGGCCCGCGCCCCCGCCGCCCUGUUAUGAUAGCUAUGGUUUCAGGUACGGGCAUGGGAAGGGAUAUACGGACAGCCGUUGCAAUUAUUUCAAUGAGGACAACACUGGGGGUUGCACGAUUAUGUGAGAGAGGAGUAGAGAAUUUGAUGGGGUGAUUUUACUGAUAUGAUGUGAAGAGCGUCCAAAUUAGUAAUCAAUUAAUUUUGUUUGGUGGGCGGUAAGAGCAAAUGCAUUUGAAGCAUUUAGUAGUAGUAUUGUGUAGUUAGCGCAAACCUUGAGAACAAUCUCCUGAACCUCUUCUUCCUUCUUUUCUUCUUUCUUGUCCCCUUCUUCUUCCUUUUUACUAGUAUCUUCUUUGUUUCCCGGUACUUGUUUCUGUUGCUCCUCCUUGUUCGCUUCCUCUUUCUUCUCCUGCAGCAUACCAUGCAUGAGAUCAAUGAGAAAGUGAUAGCAAAACUUAUUACAGUAGUUACUGGGAUUUCCUUCCGUUCAUUCGAGGGAGCAAUUAGAAUAAUCUUGUGCAAGGAUAUUUGGAAGUAGAAAACUAAAAACUUACUUCGCCCAUAUCGUCUAACUCUGACAAGCCCCUCUUCCUAGUCCUAGCUAAUACUACUAAUCAGUAGUAUAUAUGUUUAUAUAGAAUGUAUUACUGCAGGGAGGAGGGGGGGGGGGGAUCGUGGAGAUUUUCUUAUACAAGAAAUGAAAUGAAAUGAGAGCAAGGACCCUUUCUCUCAGUAUAGUAGGCAUACAGCAAGCUCGGGGCUUUGGGGUGAAGGAAAAUGGGAAGAGAGGAACGUUUAAUUUAAGUAGCGGGUGGUCGCGGUCUGGUGGUACUGCCUACACUGCCCGGUGCCCACUGCUGCGGCUGCUCCAAAAUUCCAAAUUUCUUUAAAGCGAGUUGCCUACGGUGCUGUCCUUCAGCUGACUCAGCACCUCAUAAUUUUGGCCCCCUGCUUAUGAUUCUAUCUCCGACUACGAGUACAUCAUCUGCAAAUGUAGUAGUCGCCUUUGACUGAUUAAAUAGUAGUCUGACACUACAGUAAUUUAGGAAAAAAUAUAUAUAGUAAAUAAAAUCUUGCAUACGUAGAAGUUAAUGGAAAGGAAAUACUACGAAUUAUUACGGAGAUGGAUGGGAAAGGAUUCCAACUUUGUAAAAGCCCUUGGAGUUAUCCUGCAAGCAAAAACCAAACGAAUGGUCGGCCUGGUAAGGGCUAUCAGGAUCUUUAAAAAAGAAAAGUUGGAAUCUAGCGGGACCUCCCCGCCCCCAAUUUACGACCAGUUUUCAGGAAACCAUUCACUGUAUAUAUGUGACGCUUCUGGCUUCCGCUCAUGUAUAUAAUCUGCUGUAACUAUUGUGUGUGUGUGUGUGUGUAUAGGAGUAUGUUUUUUGAUGACUAAUGUAACUAUUGGAAUUACUCAACUUCCUUCUUCGAUUACAUUACAUACUUGAUCGGCUAUAUUAUUUUGAUGAUCCCAAAUUAAUUAAGAUGAUCGACCUUGUAAUAAUGAUUAAUUAAUUGGUUAGAAAAUAAUUCCAAUUUACCACUUGCUUCCACAUGUCAUCACAUAGUUCUUGAGAACUAGUUGUUGCCUAAAUACAAAACAGGCUUCUGCCUACUUUUGAAUUUUGGCUUCCAUAGGAGGGUACAAGCGUGUAUACGAAAUCUUUAACUCUUCAGAAUUGAAGCUGCAAGUGCAAGAUUUAAGCAUCCGAAAGCAAUUAAUUUAAUGCCAUAUGCUACGGCUAUUGGAUUAGGCAAUAAUUUGCUAGUACUUACUAUAGCUUAAUGACUUAAUCGGCUAAUUACAGAAAUUAAUGCAGAAGAGGUCAACAGGCACUACUCGAAGACAAGCCACAAAAUCCAGGUGCGAUGAGGAAAAAGAAAAUUAAGUGAAAUCUAUAUACUAUUUCUUCAUGCAUGGCUGUCCCUUUUUGUUUACCCAUCUAAGGUUAAAUUUCUAUCUCAAAAUUCCUCGGGUUAAAUGAGUACCACAAGUUUUCUUGGGGAGACCUUUUUAAAGAUUUGUAGAACAUGCACAAGGAUAAUAACUUCAGUAGGAGUAUGUUUUUUGAUGACUACUGUAACUAUUUUAACUGCAGCGGGAUAAAUAUACUGGACGGACCAUAGCUUCAACAUUGCACGUUAUGGGAAAGAUUGUAAGUUGCUGUUCAAAUGUUUUGACGACAUCUUUAAACUUAGCAAGACGCAAAAUGUUAAAACAGAAAAACAGACGUACAAGUGCAGGAAGGAACAAUUAACGCAGCACAUUUCCUCAUCAUUCCAAGAGAGAUCGAACACUAGUAUACGUCUAAAAGCGAGUAGUAAUAAUAUUUUGCAAGAGGCAAAAAAACAACGGCAGUAAAAAAGAAAAUAGAAAAGUUGGGGGAAGAAGGACAAGUUUUGGCGAAUAGACAAAGAGUAACCGACGUCCCGAAGUGGGGCGAUUUUUUUUUUUCAAAAGCUUUGCGUACACUAACAUAUCAUGUAUAGUGAUGAAGACGGUAUACUUGUCUAGGAGGGAUGGCAAGGUUAUCCUGACCUGAAAUCACAGAGAAAGAAGCGGCCACCACAAUUUAAAGGACGGGGCUGUAACAUUUGACAAAGACGGCAGCCCACUGCAUAAGUGGUCCAAGUUCCAUGGAUGGAUCUUGCGUUUCUCAAAUGGUUGAAUUCUUCGAUACUAUCAUCACAACGUGUUAGUACAUGAUACGUUAUUAUUUUGAUUUCACACCGUACCUAGUUUAUAUAUUGGAUUGGAUGAAGAAAGACAAUUCAUAUUCAUGUCCAACGGCAUUUUGCCUGCUGCCUGGCUCUGCACUCUGCAGCCAGUCUCAUGGGCCUCACCGUGUAGUUUCAAGAGUGAGCCCAUAGAAUUGCUACGAACAGAUCUGGGUUUCAAGAUGGGCCGCCACUCCUUUCCUUCAUCAAUUCCUCCAGUAUACACAAUCCACUCAUCUAGGCAAGUGACGAUCAUUCGUUAUUCAAUUCCAGGGUACCUGAUCCACUCAACUAGUCUAGGCAUGUGACGAUUAUUCGUUAUUCAAUUCCAGGGUACGAACAGAUCCAUUCAACUAGUCGAGUCAAGUGACGAUCAGUCGUUAGCUGGCAAACUUUGAGGCUUAUGCUUCAUCCGGGACCUAACUUUUGGUAGGGCAGUAUUGAUAACUGGUUUUGCAGAAAAAAAAAAAUUCUGUUGUUCAAGUUGCAAAAGCAUGAGGUGUAAAUCUUCCGAGGGUUGAACUUAGAAUGCUGUCCAAAAUAAAUUUGACUAGUUGUAAGGGCAAGAGAAGACAGGUCAGAUACAUAAAAGGGAUAAUUUAGAAACCUCCCUUGAGGUUUUCAAUAAUUUCAUUGACCUCUCUUGAGGUUUGUAAAAUUACACUAACCUCCCUCAAGGUUUAGAUUUCGGUAACAAAAUUAGUCCAAAUCAGAAAAAUUACCAUUAAAAAUGUAUUUUGCGAAGAGAGAUAAACUUUUAUUCCAUAAAUGCCCUUAUGCUUGUGUACAAGUUGUAUUGUAAAGGAGUAAAAAAUAUAUUAAUAAAAGCGUGGGAAGGUAAGCGCAAAUAGUAAAGAACAAAAAAUAAGUAGCAACUGACUUUCUCUACAAAGUUGGACCAACGGGUAGUGCAUUAGAUUAUAAUGGAUAUUUUUCAGAUCUUCACCAUUUUGCAUAUAAAGGAACCAAGAAGGAUUAAGAUGGAUCUCACUUUUACUUGAAGCAGUAAAAGUUGAUGUGUAAAAAUAGUUUUGGAUGUGAUGUAUUAUGACUUUGAGCUGCUUUACGUCAAUUUAACUUUUUUCUUUAGUUGUUUACUUUUUCUUUUUUUCGGAAACAUUAACGAUGUAUUGAUCAUAAGAAACUUUACAACAAAAGUUGGGCAAAGGGCUCCAGCAAAGCUUUACAACAGUGCAUACGCUCGCACUUAUAAGGAGUAAUGUUUGAAGCGUGAACGCUAAGCCUAUGACAUAAAUCCAUCAUAUUUGUGGUAUUUUUUUUUGUAAUCUAAAAGGGCACAUUCGAAACAGUUUAGCUAAGUCCUUAAUGUCUUCCACACCAAUUUGGUGUGAUCAAUUGAAAUGUCCUUGCUGGACAGAUGAAAGCGAGUUCUUGUCCCUGAUGCCGACCAUCGCCCGUUCAGCCACCAACUCCUAUUCCCAUUUUCGUCAGUUGUUUACAAAUUAGCAGUGAAUUAUUUCCACUCCUACUUUAUCUAUCUUCUAGGAACAUAAAGAGUAGUAAAGCAGCAGUGCAGUGGGGCGGGGUAGGUGCUGCCGGCUCUCAAAUCUCAAAUUUUGCUUAGGAUUCCCCAACAGUAGUAAUUCAUCACUUCUAUGUUUACACUUUACACUUGCAUCCGGAAUGAAUGUUGUCACAAAAUCCAUCCAACAAAGUCAUCAUGUAUAUGUUAAACCCCCGAUAUAAUAACCAAACUGGUAAUAAAUAGUUAGUGGCUUUACCGUUGUUAGGAUGGAAUUCGUGUGUUGAUAUUUUUUUUUUUUAAAAAAUAAAAUUAAAUAAAAAAAGUAUAUAAACACAAGAUAAGAUAAUAAUAAUUAUCAAUAUGUACGCUUACAUGUGGUUUAUUAGAUGUGAUUUAAGUGUCGUAAUGAUUGCCCAACGAGUAUUACUCAGUAGAAAAAAAAAAUUCAUAGUUAAUUGCAAAGGGCAUAGGAUAAUGAACUUCUUGAUAAUAAUAAGAUAACGACAUUUUUGGCCUGGUCUUUUAAUUUAUGGGAUUGAUUGAUGGCUCUGUACGGUGGUAUUACCACACACGCUAACAAGUUUGGUACGUGUCUACAUGAAAACUGUCGGUGUUAAUAAAGAGUCUUUCCUCCGCCAUCCUCAUUUGCUUUUGGCUUUCUUUCGUACGAUUUCUUUUUCUUUUUCUUUCUCUCUCUCUCUCCCUUUUGGCUAACGGUAAAUGUAAUUUUAUGAGCAUAUCAGGAGACACACAAAGCAAAAACCUUUGGAGCUAGCUUACUCAUACAUAAAAAUUGUGUAUUUAAAAUAAGAAUUAAUAUUUUAUAUAUUGAAAAUAAAAAUGUAGUGAUUUUUUUACAUACUAAUAAUUUUGAAUAUAAAAUUUAAAUUCAUACUAUGUGGUAUAAUAUAAAUCUGUUAGUUUUUUUUUUUUUUUUUUUUUGUCAACACAGGGGUGUCCGGGUCAAGACCCGAAGGCGGCCCGACUAAUCCCCUGCGCCUGGAGUACAGCGCCACCCCAACCGCACCCAGGCGUUAGGUGAGGUUCGAUCCCACGACCUUGCGAGUGAUUUUCCAGCCGCAGACCGGGUGAUCUAACCCGGGAGUAGAAAAAGUUAUCCUUAAACCAACAAUAAUAAUCAUAAUUUUUGUGAGCAUUAGUUAAAUCUCAGCAUGAUUACCCUUGAAAUGUGUUGUUAACGGUCUACUUAACAAAUAUAUGCAGUCACUUGCACGAGAGAGAGAGAGAGAGAGAGAGGAAGGGGACAAUUAACAUUGGAGGAGUCACUAAUCAGUCGAAGUAUAGAUUGAUGCCACGCCCAAAAAAGCAAAAAAUAAAAAAUUGUGUAGUGUAAAAUGGUUGGCCCAUGUGGGGGAGAUGCAUCAUAUGCUUGGAUAAGCUCAUAAUUUCCAUCAUCAGUACUCACUACUAAUAACUUCAUUACUGUCAUUAAUAGUCAUCAUGGUUUCGUGGGAAUUGGUAAUAUAAAUAAUAAAAUAUAUUUUGGAAGGUGAGGUGGGCAUAUCAAAAUUCAAAGGCAGCAACGAACGGAGUAUGGAGGAUGGAUGUUGAUGGAGCGUCACAACUCAGCAAUUCCAGGCCACCACAUAUGCCUAGCCUACCUUACCUUACCUCAUACGCCCGUAUUAGAAAGCAGCAAAAUUCAACGCCCCUUUCAUUUCGUUUCCACCCUCCCUCCUUCCUUCCAUACUAUUACUAGGGAGUAGUAGUUAGCACUGCAAGCUGCCCGGUUGCCAUCUUUCUACAUAAAGUCCUCCCACUUUUUUCUACCUAAUUGCCUCCUACCGUCUAAUUCUUCCACCAUUUAUUAGCAUCAGUUUAGUAGUAUACUGCUUGCUUGCUUGCCUGCCUACAUCCCUUCCCCACUCCCCGACUCUUCCGCUCCCGCACCCAACUCCCCAACCAUUUAUUGUCAUUUGGGCUGUGGAUUCUUGAUCAGAUCCACCCAUCGCCACUGAUCACUGACUCCUUCCUUCAUCAACCAUGGCUGAGAAGGUAAGCCAAUUCUCCUGCUAGCUUUCCCAACCAUCCCUCAAAUGUUCGUGAUAUAUUAUUGUUUUGCAUCUUUUUUUUAGUAGUGUUUGCUUGCUCAAUCUGAAAAUUAUAAUUGCAAGUCUAUGACAGCACAUACAACGCGAGAUAUGCUUGCUUCUCUUUAUAUCAAGAUCUCUACCCACAUCUCCCAGCGUAAACCAUAUAAUUGUGCAUUUCUUGAUUGUUAUAUAUAUAUAUAUACACACACACAUGUAUGGAUCGAGUUUGACUAUUUUGCUCCGAUAAUAUAUAUGCAACCAUACAGGUGACUACGAUGAGACUCAAGGUUGAUCUUCAAUGCCCCUGCUGCUACAAGAAGGUCAAGAAAAUCCUCUGCAAAUUUCCUCGUGAGUCUCUUUAUGUUUUCAAUACCAGUAGAGUAGUAGUAGUUCUUCUUUAGAGCAAGUACAGUUAGUUGAAGGACAUCCACCGUUCCACCGACUAUGUACAUGGAUAGGCAUGUGCGCCACCAUGAGCUACAGUUUUUUUUAAAAAUAAUUUUUUCCCCUUCUCCAUGAUUAUUUAUUAGCCGAGUUCAACAACAAAAGUUGGGUAGUGUGGCUUAUGAAACUACUUGUGAUCAGUUAGUGGCUUUAAUUUGUAUGGACAAGAAUUUGAGUUUUUCUUUUUUUUUUUUCUUUUGUUGGGGGUGAUGCUCAAUGUUUUUGGACAAGAGAAAUCAGAGACCAGAUAUAUGAUGAGAAGCAAAAUCUGGUGACCAUCACCGUCGUGUGCUGUAGCCCCGAGAAAAUCCGCGACAAAUUAUGUUGCAAGGGUGGCAAAGUCAUUAAGAGCAUUGAGAUCGUGGAGCCACCAAAGCCCAAGCCACCGCCGGAGAAGCCUAAAGAGCCCGAAAAGCCUAAGCCACCCCCAGAAAAGCCCAAAGAGCCGGAAAAGCCCAAGCCACCCCCAGAAAAGCCCAAAGAGCCGGAAAAGCCCAAGCCACCUCCAGAAAAGCCGAAGGAGCCCGAAAAGCCCAAGCCACCCCCGGAAAAGCCCAAAGAGCCGGAAAAGCCCAAGCCACCUCCAGAAAAGCCGAAGGAGCCCGAAAAGCCCAAGCCACCUCCAGAAAAGCCCAAACCACUACCACCACCACCUGAACCGUGCUCGCACCCACCAGUUCCAGUGGGCUUUUGUUGUGUCCCAUGUUCGGAAGGGUACGGCGGGGGACCAUGCUACUACGGGUACGGGUACGGGUACGGGCGGCCUGUGCCCCCGCCACCUUGUUAUGAUAGCUAUGCUUACGGGUACGGAUAUGGGAAGGGGUACCCGUACAGUCGCUGCGAUUAUUUCAGUGAGGAGAACAGUACGGGUUGCACGAU